This is a non-coding RNA of Acanthosepion pharaonis, 108 nucleotides long. NCBI's taxonomy places the organism in Eukaryota, Metazoa, Mollusca, Cephalopoda, Sepiida, Sepiidae. The record is from the annotation of a GenBank genome assembly.
CCAAAUCUCGUUGAAACACCAGUUCCCGGACGAUCACCGAAGUUAAGCAACGUCGAGCCAGGUUAGUACCUAGAUAUGUAACCGCUUGUGAGUAUCACGCGCUGCAAG